AUGUUUUUAAAUACUUCUUGUAAAUUCUUCAGUGGUCUCUUCUCCCUUCACCCAGGUGAGGCACUGCAGUGUUACACCUGUGUAGGUUCUAGUGAUGACGACUGCAACAGACAAGGAAGUCAGCAGUGUCCAGGCCAUGCAGAUGCCUGUGCAGUCAUUAGAGGACAAGCAAGUGGCAUCAUGAAAUCCUGCUCGUUCAGGUCCUUCUGCGAGCGGGCGAGGAGGGACGGAUCGAGGGCGCCCGGAGUGAGCGUCCACUGCUGCUACUCCAACAACUGCAAUGCCAAGAGCACGGCUCCCAGGGUCACCAGCUCCAGCAGCUACCUCUCCCUCCUCAUCUUCACACUGCUCUGCCACCCCUUGUUGAAGCUGACAUGAGGGGGAAAAAGAAGAAAAAAAAAAGUAUCUUGAAACAACAGCUCUGCCUUCGUAGCAAGGGAUGAUAAUAUUUCCUAGUCAUGCUCCACUUAUCUCACUAGGCAAAAGGUAUAGGAAGACCUGAGAGAUGUUUAGAUAAAAAUUGUUUCAUCUGCUAAAUAGGUCUUGAUCUCUGUGUAAGAAGCUCUGCCCUGUUGUUUAUCCUGAGGGGUUGAUUGUGUGAAUACUUAACAUUUUCCUGCAAUUUAGACAGGGAGAAAUCUUUGCUGCAGGUAGCCUGGUAGUAAGGUAAAGGGUAAAUGUCUGCCAAAUGCUGUUUACUGGUGGCAGGCAGUCAAAAGCAAGCUAAAAUUUUCAAACACAAAGUGACUGAAAAUUCUAGCAAGCAAGUUAAUCUUUCAGAGAGCAUUGGAAUACUGGACAAAGCCAGGAAACUCAAAAUGCAGAUGAUUUAGUAUUAGUACAAGCUGAUAAGAGAAGGUCAUUAAGAGAAUAAGGCAUGGAGGUGUAUUGUAUAUGAUCCUGGUAGAGGGGCUGGAACUGGAUGUCUUUAAGGUCCCUUCCAACCCAAACCAUUCGAUGAUUCUAUGCUUUCUUGGAAAAAAACACCUUCCAGUCUUUUCUGAUCCUUUGAGAACCUUACCACAGCAUCAGAAGAAGGAAAAAGAAGGGUUUGGAAGUUAUUUUUGAACUGGUACCCCAUCCAAAGAUUGGCUCAAUCUAUCUCCCCUGCUGGUUUUAAAAACAAGUGAUUAAUCCUUGUCUUGAAGGCAAAUUACAACUUGAGUGUAUAAUUCUUCUUGAGGUUUCAGUUAUAAUAGAUAAUUUUCCACUGCCCUAAACUUCAGACUUUGAGAGUUAGAGUGUAUAUAUCCAUCCAUACCUCCCCCUUCAGUGAUGUGAUUGAGUUGAGGUGGUUUAUGUAUCCUUUUCAUUUUGCAAAGUGAAUUAAAUUACUUGGAGGUCUUUAGAGGCAUAAGGGACUAAGUCAAUAUUUCUAAUAAACUCUUCCAUGGCAGUUUUACCA
Molecule: long non-coding RNA, 1405 nt
Filed under: Cyanistes caeruleus (blue tit)
Lineage: Eukaryota; Metazoa; Chordata; Aves; Passeriformes; Paridae
Description: lncRNA (ENSCCEG00000018147.1)
Source: RNAcentral